RNAcentral lists this transfer RNA (72 nucleotides) under Caudoviricetes sp. Its description in RNAcentral is "tRNA-Cys". It matches the Rfam family "tRNA". Rfam says of the family: Transfer RNA (tRNA) molecules are approximately 80 nucleotides in length. Their secondary structure includes four short double-helical elements and three loops (D, anti-codon, and T loops). The record is from RNAcentral. Lineage: Duplodnaviria; Heunggongvirae; Uroviricota; Caudoviricetes.
GUGGCAGUAGCUCAGUUGGCAGAGCGGGGGACGCAAUCCCUAUGUCGGCGGUUCAAGUCCGACCUGCUGUCU